GAGCCCCGUCUGGCUGGCCACCGAGCCUCUGUAAAGCUCCUUCGACGAGUCGAGUAGUUUGGGAAUGCUGCUCAAAAUGGGAGGUAUAUGUCUUCUAAAGCUAAAUAUUGGCCAGAGACCGAUAGCGCACAAGUAGAGUGAUCGAAAGAUGAAAAGCACCUUGAAAAGAGGGUUAAACAGUACGUGAAAUUGUUGAAAGGGAAGCGCUUGUGACCAGACUUGGGCGCGGCGGAUCAUCCGGGGUUCUCUCCGGUGCACUUCGCCGCGUUCAGGCCAGCAUCAGUUCGUCGCGGGGGAAAAAGGCUUCGGGAACGUGGCUCCUCCGGGAGUGUUAUAGCCCGUUGCAUAAUACCCUGCGGUGGACUGAGGACCGCGCAUCUGCAAGGAUGCUGGCUUAAUGGUCACCAGCGACCCGUCUUGAAACACGGACCAAGGAGUCGUCUUCGUAUGCGAGUGUUCGGGUGUCAAACCCCUACGCGUAAUGAAAGUGAACGCAGGUGAGAGCUUCGGCGCAUCAUCGACCGAUCCUGAUGUUCUCGGAUGGAUUUGAGUAAGAGCAUACGGGGCCGGACCCGAAAGAAGGUGAACUAUGCCUGUAUAGGGUGAAGCCAGAGGAAACUCUGGUGGAGGCUCGCAGCGGUUCUGACGUGCAAAUCGAUCGUCAAAUAUGGGCAUGGGGGCGAAAGACUAAUCGAACCUU
This 700-nucleotide ribosomal RNA is filed under the name uncultured Ascomycota. Its description in RNAcentral is "eukaryotic LSU rRNA". It matches the Rfam family "Eukaryotic large subunit ribosomal RNA", at positions 216 to 943 of the family's 3401-position model. Lineage: Eukaryota; Fungi; Ascomycota. The record is from RNAcentral.